RNAcentral lists this ribosomal RNA (245 nucleotides) under uncultured Acidisoma sp. RNAcentral describes it as "partial 16S ribosomal RNA". It matches the Rfam family "Bacterial small subunit ribosomal RNA", at positions 524 to 768 of the family's 1533-position model. The record is from RNAcentral. Lineage: Bacteria; Pseudomonadati; Pseudomonadota; Alphaproteobacteria; Acetobacterales; Acidocellaceae.
UACGAAGGGGGCUAGCGUUGCUCGGAAUGACUGGGCGUAAAGGGCGCGUAGGCGGCUAUUUUUGUCAGGCGUGAAAGUCCUGGGCUCAACCUGGGGACGGCGCUUGGGACGGGAUAGCUUGAGUGGGGAAGAGGGUCGUGGAAUUCCCAGUGUAGAGGUGAAAUUCGUAGAUAUUGGGAAGAACACCGGUGGCGAAGGCGGCGACCUGGUCCUUUACUGACGCUGAGGCGCGAGAGCGUGGGGAG